This 1227-nucleotide long non-coding RNA is filed under the name Numida meleagris (helmeted guineafowl). RNAcentral describes it as "lncRNA (ENSNMEG00000009163.1)". Lineage: Eukaryota; Metazoa; Chordata; Aves; Galliformes; Numididae. The record is from RNAcentral.
GCAGAGUCCUGCCAAUUUGCAGAGGAAUUAAAUUCAUGCCGAUAAGAAGAUUAAAGACUAUUUAGACUGCCAUCAUUUGUGUCCCUUGGAGAACUCGUAAGCAAUAUAUUCUACUGGCAAUACCUGCAAAAUUUGAAUACAAAUACGAGUAACAUCUUGUCUUCCUGAAGUAAUUUUUGCUACCUGUGCCUACAAACAAUAAGCAAAGCUCUAAGUAUCAGAAGGUAAAACAGACAUCGGGCUCAUAAAUAAGGAUGUCUCCUUCCAGUACGAAAAUGCCAGAUCUGAGAAGCCUGAAGUUUCAAAAAAUAAUUGAGAAGAUUUGUUCAGUCCAACAUUUCCUUCUAAAGUAAAAUAACUUUACAUUGCUGCCAUGCCAAAGCAAAACAGUGUGUCUGAAGAGAAACUAAAGAAAUGUAUCUGAGCUACAGAACUUUUAAUAGCUGCAAACACUUCUCACAUGGAGGGCACCACUGGUUAUUUGCCUAUUUACUAGAUUCACCAGUUUCAUCAUCCAGACAUUACAUAGUGACCUUGAUUUUCAAAGGGGAAAGCUUUCUUCUCUCUGCGGGGAUCUCAUGAGCACAGAUCUGAGCUAUUGGGAAACAAUACUAAGUUUUUGGAACAGGACACCGUAUAGGUCUUUGACGAAAUCCAGGGCUGGGCAGCAGCAUGGAUGCAACCAGCUUGUUUGGGAGUGGGAAGCCCCAGAUACUGAGAACGUGAACCAUUCUGAACCACGUGGCACAAGGCAAGGGGUGCCUCUGGAGUGAAUGCAUUCAGCGAUGGAGAUACAAAGAUUUACCACUUACUCAAGGUGAUCAAUGGCCAAACCCAUAACUGUGUUAGCAGCAACAAACUACAGCCAUCAGAACUUUUGCCUUGCCUCCUGGCUCCAGCAUGUACAUUUGCAUGCAUUGCUCCUAUCCAUAUUUCAUGUAUUGUUUUUUGUAUCUGAGGUAUCCAAACACAUUAGUGGGUAUCAUUCCACAGAAAUGUACAGAUAAGUCUAUAUACCUAGCUUUGGCUCCCCAUUCAGUGCAUGCACUGGGACCCAAACUGUAUUCAGAGUUUAAGUGAGCAAUACGACUUUGUACAGGCCUUCUCCACUGCAACUUCUAAAGAAAAAUAUCUGCAAUCCAAUGACUUGGAAGACCACAAGUCAGCUCUUUGGGUACAUUAUACCUCUUCAUAAUAAAACAGAUGCCUUGUUGACCUGGGAAAACA